AUUGAACGCUGGCGGCAGGUCUAACACAUGCAAGUCGAGCGGAUGAAGGGAGCUUGCUCCUGGAUUCAGCGGCGGACGGGUGAGUAAUGCCUAGGAAUCUGCCUGGUAGUGGGGGAUAACGUCCGGAAACGGGCGCUAAUACCGCAUACGUCCUGAGGGAGAAAGUGGGGGAUCUUCGGACCUCACGCUAUCAGAUGAGCCUAGGUCGGAUUAGCUAGUUGGUGGGGUAAAGGCCUACCAAGGCGACGAUCCGUAACUGGUCUGAGAGGAUGAUCAGUCACACUGGAACUGAGACACGGUCCAGACUCCUACGGGAGGCAGCAGUGGGGAAUAUUGGACAAUGGGCGAAAGCCUGAUCCAGCCAUGCCGCGUGUGUGAAGAAGGUCUUCGGAUUGUAAAGCACUUUAAGUUGGGAGGAAGGGCAGUAAGUUAAUACCUUGCUGUCUUGACGUUACCAACAGAAUAAGCACCGGCUAACUUCGUG
RNAcentral lists this ribosomal RNA (484 nucleotides) under uncultured bacterium. RNAcentral's name for it is "partial 16S ribosomal RNA". It matches the Rfam family "Bacterial small subunit ribosomal RNA", at positions 30 to 507 of the family's 1533-position model. The record is from RNAcentral.